UCCUACGGGAGGCAGCAGUGGGGAAUAUUGGACAAUGGGGGCAACCCUGAUCCAGCAAUGCCGCGUGUGUGAAGAAGGCCUUCGGGUUGUAAAGCACUUUAGGUGGGGAAGAAGGUAGGUAUUUUAAGAGAUAACCUAUUUGACGGUACCCGCAGAAUAAGCACCGGCUAACUCUGUGCCAGCAGCCGCGGUAAUACAGAGGGUGCAAGCGUUAAUCGGAUUUACUGGGCGUAAAGGGCGCGUAGGUGGUUAUUUAAGUGAGAUGUGAAAGCCCCGGGCUUAACCUGGGAACUGCAUCUUAUACUGGGUAACUGGAGUGCAGUAGAGGGUAGUGGAAUUUCCGGUGUAGCGGUGAAAUGCGUAGAUAUCGGAAGGAACACCAGUGGCGAAGGCGGCUACCUGGACUGAGACUGACACUGAGGCGCGAGAGCGUGGGGAGCAAACAGGAUUAGAUACCCUGGUAGUCCACGCUGUAAACGAUGAAAACUAGAUGUUGGGUAGCUUAGACUAUUCAGUAUCGAAGCUAACGCGAUAAGUUUUCCGCCUGGGGAGUACGGUCGCAAGAUUAAAACUCAAAUGAAUUGACGA
This 588-nucleotide ribosomal RNA is filed under the name uncultured bacterium. RNAcentral describes it as "bacterial SSU rRNA". It matches the Rfam family "Bacterial small subunit ribosomal RNA", at positions 337 to 916 of the family's 1533-position model. The record is from RNAcentral.